GAUGAACGCUGGCGGCGUGCCUAAUACAUGCAAGUCGAGCGAACAGACGAGGAGCUUGCUCCUCUGACGUUAGCGGCGGACGGGUGAGUAACACGUGGAUAACCUACCUAUAAGACUUGGAUAACUUCGGGAAACCGGAGCUAAUACCGGAUAAUAUAUUGAACCGCAUGGUUCAAUAGUGAAAGACGGUUUUGCUGUCACUUAUAGAUGGAUCCGCGCCGCAUUAGCUAGUUGGUAAGGUAACGGCUUACCAAGGCAACGAUGCGUAGCCGACCUGAGAGGGUGAUCGGCCACACUGGAACUGAGACACGGUCCAGACUCCUAAGGGAGGCAGCAGUAGGGAAUCUUCCGCAAUGGGCGAAAGCCUGACGGAGCAACGCCGCGUGAGUGAUGAAGGUCUUCGGAUCGUAAAACUCUGUUAUUAGGGAAGAACAAAUGUGUAAGUAACUAUGCACGUCUUGACGGUACCUAAUCAGAAAGCCACGGCUAACUACGUG
This 497-nucleotide ribosomal RNA is filed under the name uncultured bacterium. RNAcentral's name for it is "partial 16S ribosomal RNA". It matches the Rfam family "Bacterial small subunit ribosomal RNA", at positions 28 to 507 of the family's 1533-position model. The record is from RNAcentral.